CCUACGGGAGGCAGCAGUGGGGAAUAUUGCACAAUGGGGGAAACCCUGAUGCAGCAACGCCGCGUGAGUGAAGAAGUAUUUCGGUAUGUAAAGCUCUAUCAGCAGGGAAGAAAAUGACGGUACCUGUGUAAGAAGCCCCGGCGAACUACGUGCCAGCAGCCGCGGUAAGACGUAGGGGGCAAGCGUUAUCCGGAUUUACUGGGCGUAAAGGGAGCGUAGACGGUUGGACAAGUCUGAAGUGAAAGCCUGGGGCUCAACCCCGGGACUGCUUUGGAAACUGCCUGACUGGAGUGCUGGAGAGGCAAGCGGAAUUCCGAGUGUAGCGGUGAAAUGCGUAGAUAUUAGGAAGAACACCAGUGGCGAAGGCGGCUUGCUGGACAGUAACUGACGUUGAGGCUCGAAAGCGUGGGGAGCAAACAGGAUUAGAUACCCCAGUAGUC
This 440-nucleotide ribosomal RNA is filed under the name uncultured bacterium. Its description in RNAcentral is "partial 16S ribosomal RNA". It matches the Rfam family "Bacterial small subunit ribosomal RNA", at positions 338 to 795 of the family's 1533-position model. The record is from RNAcentral.